This is an RNA transcript of Phragmites australis (common reed), 2051 nucleotides long. RefSeq lists it as uncharacterized. The record is from RefSeq and is a predicted model, not a curated record. NCBI's taxonomy places the organism in Eukaryota, Viridiplantae, Streptophyta, Magnoliopsida, Poales, Poaceae. The transcript is spliced from 3 exons.
AUUUUCUGCCCCACCUUUGUAGAUGGUUGACUCCUCCCCGUCUCGCGACGCUCACUCAUGACUUCAGUCUGCCUCCACCUCAGCCUCUGCCAUCACCACCACCACCUUCGCUGCCACAGUCUCCACCUCCGUGGCUGUAGCCCUACGAUCCACUCCUCCCUCUUAUGCCUGCAGCCGCCUCUUCCUCCCACCCCCACCGCCAAGGCCACCGCGAAGGGACGACUUUGGCUCUCAGCCUUCCCCCACCGAUUCUAUGCCCUUGUUUGAUCUGCCCUCCUCUGAUGGCCCAGUGGCGGCAUCGCCUUCCACCCGCCGCCGCAUUCUUCCUCCACGCCAGGCGUGCCUCGGUCCAGAUCCAGGGCGUGAGCAAGCUUGAGCCUACCUGUGAUUACGGCGUUGUUAAUGGUGAGUUGAUUACCUAGCGGUAUAUAUAUGUGCUGGCAUGGCACGUGCGUGUGAUAGCUUGCUUGCAUAUGACGAUGUGUGUGUUCACUUUUGCCAAGAAGUUUGAAUUAGGGCCUCAUGCCUUACUACAAACAUAACUAGUUUAGUUAGUAAAACUUACACUUAGAGACUUGUUCCUUCUAUUUUAAUAGCACGCUUGGCAAUUAUGGUUUAAAUUUUAACUGGCCUUGUUUAGUGGUUUUAUUAAAGAAUAGUAGUUGUGUGCAAGAAAUAUGCUGGUUGAAUCUUGCUUUUGUAAUAAGAUAGAUAUUGUAUUGAGACAAUGAGACUCAACUAUAGUUUUCUAUACACACCAGGUAGUUCAACAAUCGGACUAUUUGGUUGAAGAAGAAAAUUACUCCAUAGAUAUGAUCCUUUCAAAGUUAUGCUUGUUAUGUUGUUUUGGAGUAGCACACUCUCUUGGCUCUCUUGUUUAUAAUUGCAUCCUUCAUAUCAGCGAUAUGUCCAAAGAUUAAGUCACUCUCAAAUAGCAUAUAGAUAACUUCAUGGUUUCUAUAUCUUACCAGUGAGAUGCCUUUUUCUAGCUCUGCUACUAUAUGUGUAGACCCUCCCAGAUUUUGUCUGCAUGAGGUUGUAAAUCUUCUUUCUCCAUCUACAAUGAACCUAUAACGGUGAACUCCAGAUGAAAGCAUCAAUAGAAUGUUUUAGUUUGAGGGAAAAUGGAAUGGAAUGUGUCUCUUAUUUGUCUGAUGAAUGUACUUUGAUGCCCAGUUAUCUCAUGAUCCUUCUACAUAGAUAUUUUCCCUCCAAGAGUUCAAGUAAGCAAAGUAGGAAUUUUCUUUUGAGGUGGGUCGUCAGAAUCCUCAUGUUGUUCACGCAUCAAUAUCUAGUUGAACAUUGGAGGUACUUCGGUAGCUCUUUGCAAUGGAGUUGCUAGGCUCUGCAAUAUGAAAUAUACCAAUGCCUUUACAAAUAUAUUUAUAUCAACUGGAGAACAAUGCAUGAGAUGAGCUAGACUGCUUAUAUCAAAACAUACAUUAGUCUACUUUCAUGGAUAUUGAAGAUACUAAUCACAUAUUCUGAUAUUGGCGACAUGAUGAAUUAGUACAUUUGAGGUAUCUAGCAAAUACAAAUUUUCACUAAAUUGGGUAACUGUUAUUUGCAAACUGAAACUUUUAUACCUGACAUUUCUAAGAUUGCCGCAUUACUGAACUAUAUUUUGAUCACACCUGUGCUCUUUGAUAUUACUAGGAAACACAACCAGUUGGCUCUUUGAAUUAGAUUCAUUCCAACUGGAACCAUGGACUUUGUUUAUUUUACUACCAAGACGACCGUGUUUGACAUCGAAUCACCUCUGCUUCUUGUAGGUUUAUUUAUCUGUUCAUUGGUAUCGGCGCUAUCGUCUUCCUCAUGUCUCUGUCUGGCUGCAUCGGAGCAGGGACAAGAAACACCCACUGCAUGUGUUUCGUAUCCUGUUGUUGUGUUUCGUAUCCCAUUGUUGUGUUUCUUAACUCAUCAUUGUGUUCUCCAUUCUGAAAAAUAUUCCAGAUGCUAUGCACAAGACACUGAACAUGGGCUAUUAGACACUUGGAAUUAUGUUGGAUGUCAAAUUAUGUUCAAUCUUUGUACUUGGGCUAUUAAUUUCA